Molecule: long non-coding RNA, 607 nt
Organism: Rattus norvegicus (Norway rat)
Lineage: Eukaryota; Metazoa; Chordata; Mammalia; Rodentia; Muridae
Source: Ensembl
UGGGAUUCCAGCAUAUGCUGAAAACUAGUGAGACAUCAGCCUUGUGGACUGAGCAACUACUGGAUUGUUGGACUUUCUGUUCACAGCCAACCAACAUUGAAUUAGCUCGAGUACAGCUGGCCCUUGCUCUGAACACUACUAUCAAGGAGCUGUUUCCAUCUGCUGUCGCCGAGCACUGCCCACCAGACACCGAGCACUGCCCACCAGACACCGAGCACAGCCCACCAGACACCGGAAAACCUUGGGUGUCUCAGACAAUGGCCACGCGUUAGAUGUGCCUCACUUAGCUGAACAAAAACUUCAAACCACAUUUGACUGGUUUCCAAAUGACAGCAGCUGCGGGUCAGUCUCAAAGAGGAACGCCUGCGCAUGCGUUCCGCGCUACUCCCUGCCCACUUGAGGCUGCCUGGGACCCACUGGAGGUGAAAUCAGGGGCCUCUUCAUUCUAGAAGGCUUCAGUGGGCUGGAGAGACAGAGAUGGCUCACGAAGUUUAGAGAACGCCUGAGGAGUCAAGCAACCUAUCAGAGGCCACUCAGCCAGGAAGCAGAGAGAAGAAGGUUGCAAUGUGAACUCGGCCACUCCAGAAGGCAAGCUACUUAAACUCGC